Molecule: transfer RNA, 89 nt
Filed under: Priestia megaterium
Lineage: Bacteria; Bacillati; Bacillota; Bacilli; Caryophanales; Bacillaceae
Description: Bacillus megaterium tRNA-Ile
Rfam family: tRNA
About the family: Transfer RNA (tRNA) molecules are approximately 80 nucleotides in length. Their secondary structure includes four short double-helical elements and three loops (D, anti-codon, and T loops).
Source: RNAcentral
GAUGUGAUAGCUCAGUAGGUAGAGCGAUGGACCUAUAAUGCGUAUGCUAGGUACUUGGGUCACGGGUUCGAAUCCCGUUCACAUUCCCC